This 561-nucleotide ribosomal RNA is filed under the name uncultured Brevundimonas sp. Its description in RNAcentral is "bacterial SSU rRNA". It matches the Rfam family "Bacterial small subunit ribosomal RNA", at positions 338 to 917 of the family's 1533-position model. Lineage: Bacteria; Pseudomonadati; Pseudomonadota; Alphaproteobacteria; Caulobacterales; Caulobacteraceae. The record is from RNAcentral.
CCUACGGGAGGCAGCAGUGGGGAAUCUUGCGCAAUGGGCGAAAGCCUGACGCAGCCACGCCGCGUGAAUGAUGAAGGUCUUAGGAUUGUAAAAUUCUUUCACCGGGGACGAUAAUGACGGUACCCGGAGGAGAAGCCCCGGCUAACUUCGUGCCAGCAGCCGCGGUAAUACGAAGGGGGUUAGCGUUGCUCGGAAUUACUGGGCGUAAAGGGAGCGUAGGCGGACAUUUAAGUCAGGGGUGAAAUCCCGGGGCUCAACCUCGGAAUUGCCUUUGAUACUGGGUGUCUUGAGUAUGAGAGAGGUGUGUGGAACUCCGAGUGUAGAGGUGAAAUUCGUAGAUAUUCGGAAGAACACCAGUGGCGAAGGCGACACACUGGCUCAUUACUGACGCUGAGGCUCGAAAGCGUGGGGAGCAAACAGGAUUAGAUACCCUGGUAGUCCACGCCGUAAACGAUGAUUGCUAGUUGUCGGGAUGCAUGCAUUUCGGUGACGCAGCUAACGCAUUAAGCAAUCCGCCUGGGGAGUACGGUCGCAAGAUUAAAACUCAAAGGAAUUGACGGA